Long non-coding RNA from Macaca mulatta (Rhesus monkey), 4622 nucleotides. The record is from Ensembl. NCBI's taxonomy places the organism in Eukaryota, Metazoa, Chordata, Mammalia, Primates, Cercopithecidae.
CACCAGAAGGAACCAAUUCCAGACACAAUAUGGCUACUAGAAAAUGUUAAGUCACAUAUGUAGCUUGAAUUUGUGGCUUGUGUUACAUUUCUAUCUGGACUAUCUCAAAGGGGAAGGAAGGAGAGAAUGGGCAUAUCAGAGCUCUGCCCUACCUGGGGUAAUCACAUCAUUUCUUAUUCAUACCAGGAUAUUUGGAGAAUAAAAGUGGACACUGUAGACAAUGAUUUUGGGACAAGUGGCAUUAACUGGCACUGUUGGACAAUGAGAUGUGAGGUCACCUUCCCAAUGAGUAAGGUGACUAUGAAUGCCACAGAGAAAGGGCAGGUGAGAACUGUCAUAGAUGAGUUGUUUUAGGGAGAUUUGUUUUUCCAUGCACUAAACAAAAACUGAAAUUCGUCCCACCAUGCUUCCUACUCUUAGAAAACAUCUAAGCUUUCUAUUUCUGAGGAGGAUUUCAGACUAAAAUCCAGGUUCCAAGAACUUCUUGGAUGGCAGAAAUUAUUGUGAAGCAUUUGGAUAUAUUAAACCUAAGUCCAUCAGAAACAUACGGAUUACAUUUCCCUUUAAAACACAAACACACUUAAAAUUUAAGAGAAAAGUAUUUGGCAAGGGACUUCCAAAUACUUUUCUUUGGUUUUGCUAAAUCUGCAGUGUUUUCAUGCACGUGCAGACACACGAUCAUUUGGAGGAUGCUCUUCACAUGAAUGAUAGGCUUACUUUCCUCUGCCGGAAAGCGGGCUCAGCUUUCUUGAUGUCUACUCGUGUCCCUGGCUUAAGGGCUGGAUCCCAAAGACCUUAAAGAAAUAAAAAUGUCAUCUAAUCUGAAAUUUGGAGAGUCUAAAGGCAGGUGGAAGAAUCUGACACACUUAGGGAGUGUGGCCUUUGGUCGCAUCUCUCAAUAGAGCCAUGGACAUGGGGACACAGCAAAAUGUAGGAGUAGAGAAAAUCAUUAUUCUCAACAGCCAAGCUCUGCCUUUUUUCAGGGUGGUGAGGAGACUGGAGAGGGCACUUGUUCCCUACUCUCUCCCUCCUCAGCCCCACUUCAUGACCCUGAAAUGUCCUUUCAGUAUUUGUGUUUUAAUUCAAGACUCACAGCAUCACAUAUAUUGGAGAGUUGCACCAUUAAUUCUCUUUCCUGUUACCUAAUACAUGAAUUGAAGACCAUCUCAACAAUUUAGUAUUUAAGGUUAUCUUUUUGAUUCAAAUAUCAAUAGCUUUUACUUUGAUUUUCUAUUAAAAACAAAUUUAGCUUAUUAUUUGAUACCUUGCUAAACUAUCAAUUUAGAGCACACUGUACAUGCAAGGAGUCUAAAAUUUUUUAUUUUCACAGAAGUCACAUGAAAACAAACUUCAGAAAAAUAAGAAAUAAAACAAUAAAGAAGAUUAUGUUGAAUCUCAUGGAGAUUUCGAAGUGGAGAGUCUCAGAAUGCCACUGUGCAAUAUCUCUAGAGGUCAACUAACCUGGAGAACAGGUUCAUGAUAAGGCUAGUGUUUAUGGCUUGUGCAGGAGAAUUACAUAAAUUUUACUACAUAAGUAGGAUUGCUGUCUUCCCUUUUCAUGUUCCUUAAAUGUUACCAUCAUGUUUAAAAAUAAAUACACACUAAAGAGUGUGAAUGCUCCAUUUUUGCAACAUUCCAAGCUGCUCCAAGUCUCAGAACUUUCCCACAACAUCCUGUUACCUCUUCACUAUUUCAGGUGUAGGGAAGACUGAGAUAAAGACAAAACUGCUCCUCUCAUGGAGAUUAUAAUAUUAUAGAAGGAGAGUGACUCAACAAAGUUAUUAAACAUAAACUCAUCAAGAUUAUUUCUGCUGUUUCAGAGAGAAAUAAACCAUAUUUUAAAAGUGUAAAAAAGUGACAUGAAGACAGUUAUAAAAUGCCUCUUUGAGGAGAUAUAGUGAAACCCAAAGGAUGAGAAAAGGCCAGUCCUAUGACUGUUGGAGGACAGACUAAUUCAAAUGGAGAGGAUGAGUAGAGGGAAUAUAAAAUAAAAACCCAUAAGGCAGGAACUGUCUAUGACUAAACAAGGAGAUGAAAGAAGGACAGGGUUGCUGAAGCACACUUAGUAAUGGGUUUGGGUAGUAGGGAAUGACUUUGGGGAGGGAGGCAGAGGCAACCAUCAGAUAUUAGAAAUGACACUCAUAAUGAGAGCAAUGCAAAAGAAAACAGCAAUGAGAUAUCAAAUGCCAUCAUCAGACUGGCACAAAUUAAAAGUCUGACAAAUACCACAGGCUGAAAAAGGGGAUUGCUUACAACUACUUGUUGUAGUGCACACUGGUAUAACUACUUUGGAGAGCAAUGGGCUUUUCUGUAAAUUUCAUAAUGUCCACCCUGUACAAUCUAGGGCUUUUCCUCCUAGGUAUAUGCCUCCCAAAAAUAAUCUCACCUGGGCACCAUGUUGUUCAGAGCAUUGCUGUUGUCACCAGUAAAACAACAACAAAAGCAACCACAAUUAGAUUAGAAACAACCUAAAUGUAUAUCAUUGUGAGAAUAAAAAGUAUAGAGUACUCAUAAUAAAACUACCGUACAGCAGUGAAAAUGAAUAAGUAAGAAUUAUGGGUAAUCUUCUAGCUGAAGUUUAUAAACAGUGUUGAGAGGAACCCCCCAAAAUCACAAAAGAAUACAUAUAACACGAUUCCCUUUAUGUACAUUUUUAGCUUAUUUUGAUAUAAACUGACAAAAAGUUUCUAAAGAGUACAGUGAGAUCCAAUGUACCUAUUACUUGGGUCCCUUCAUUAAUAGCAUCUUGCAUCAUUACUAAUGUGUAGUAAUGUUUUUAAUAAAUCUAGGUAAUUGACAUUGGUAUAAUACAACUAACUAGACUGUAUAACUUAAUCAGACUUCAUCAGGUUUUACAUGCACUCAUGUUUUUGGUAUGUCUGUGGGUUAUACAUAUACAUUCUAUGACAUUUUAUCACAUGUAUAAAUUUAUAUAACUACUACCAUGAUAAAGAUACAGAAUUGUUUCUUCACUACAUGGGAAAUUGCAUGUUAUUCUUUUAUAUUCACACUCUUCUUAAAACACUUUUAAGUUCAGGGAUACAAGUACAGGUUUGUUACAUAGGUAAACUUGUGUCACUCUUCUUCUAAACCAUGAUCAUCACUAAUCUAUUCUCCAUCUAUACAAUUUUGUCAUUUUGAGGAUGCUGCAUAAAUGGAAUCAGGCUGGGCACAGUGGCUCACACCUGUAAUCCCAGAACUUUGGGAGGCUGAGAUGGGUGGAUCACCUGAAGUCAGGAGUACAUGACCAGCCUGGCUAAUGUGGUGAAAUCCUAUCAUUACUAAAAAAAAAACAAAAAUUAAUUGGGAGUGGUGGUGCACACCUGUAUUCCCAGCUACUGAGGAUGCUGAGGCAUGAGAAUCGCUCAAACCCUAGAGGCGGAGGUUGCAAUGAGCCGAGAUCAUACCACUGCCUUCCAACCUGGGUGACAGAGUGAGACUCCAUCUCAAAAUAUGUACUAAAUAAAUAAAUAAAUAAAUGGAAUAUGUAACAUCUUGGGACUGGCUUUAAAAAUAUCCUGCACAAUGCUAUUGAGAUCUAACCAUCAAGUAAUUUGUUGAGUCUUAUUGGUGAGUAGUAUAGAUGUACUAGCGUUUAUUUUACUUUUCAUCCAUUGAGGGAUAUUUAGAUUGUAUCCAGUUUGAGAUUAUUACAAAUGAAGAUGCUGUGAGCAUUUUUGUAUAGAUUUUAGUGUAAACAUACAUUUAAAUUUUCUUAGAGUGGCAUUGCUGUGUCACAUGGCGAAUGUAUGUUUAACUUCAAAAGAAAGUGCUAAACUGUUUCCCAGAGUAGCUGUACCAUUUCACAUUCCUGGUAGCAUGUAUAAAAUACCCAGUUUCUCCAUAUCUUCUCCAGCAUUUGGUACUAACAGCAUUAUUUCAGCCUUUUUGAUAGGUUUUUAAUGAUGUAUCUUCAAGAUUUUAAUUUGUGUUCCUUUCAUAGCUAGUGAUUUGCAGCACCCUUUUACAUACUUAUUCACCAUUUAUCUUCUUUAGCAAAGUGUCUGUGUAAGUAUUUUUCUCAUUUUCUAAUUGAAUUCUGUGUUUUCUUAUUCUUUAGAUUUUUUUAAAUAUUCUGGAGAAAAGUCCUUUGUCAUAUAUGUGCUUAGCAAAUAGGAUCCUCCCCGCCCUCCAACUCAGUGGCUUGUCUUUUUGUCUUCUUAACAGGGGUCUUUCAUGAAGAAAACCUUUUUUUAAAUUUUGAUUAAUUCAAUUUAUCUACUUUUUCAAAGAUCUUUUAUAGAACUUUAUGUCUAAACAUUAUUUGCCCCAAAAUUCUCUUUUUAAAAGCUUUCUUCCAAAAGGUUUAUAGUUUUGUGGGGUUUCUUACUUUUACUUAUUUUCUGCCUAGGUAUUCUUUUCUUUCUAAAUAUUUUAAACAUUUUAUACACUGAACACAAAAUUUACCAUCAAUGACAUUUAGUACAUUUACAAUGUUAUGUAAACAUCACUACUGUCUACUUUCAAACAUUUUCAUCACUCCAAAGGAAAUCUCAUACAACUUAAACAGUCAUUACUCAUGCCUCUCUCCCCUUAGCCCCUGGCUAGUACUAAUUUGCUUUCAGUUUCUAAGAGUUCACCUGUUCUGGGUAUUUCAUCUGAAUGAAAUUAUAACAUAUAUG